GGCAUCUAUAUUCUUUUCAGAUUCUCCCCACCCUCAAUAGUGUUCACGGAAAACGGAGCGAUCCAUUAGCACAUGAUUAAUUAAGUAUCUACUAAUUUUUUUUCAAAAAUGGACUAAUAUGAUUUUUUUAAGCAACUUUCGUAUAGAAACUUUUUGCAGAAAAAUGCACCGUUUAGUAGUUUGAAAAGCGUGCUAACGGAAAACGAGUAGAAUCUAAUCCUACUAGCCUGAAAAGAACGCAGAAUAUGCAGUAUGCACACUAGUGAGAAAACAGUACAGCAACAGAGAAGCUCAAACUCCAACACCAUUAUAUACACCACUCUGCUUGUUGGGUUUCUCUUGUUUUUUUUUUCUUUCUGAUGUGUCCAUUUGGGAAUGAGGGUGACAGUGAAAGUGAAGAAGAGUUUCAGAAACAGCAGCAGUAGGCAGCCAUUGCACAUUGUGUUUCAGCUCACAGGUGUGUGUAAUUGUGUAUGUAUAGUUCUAGCUCUGCAUUGGUGUAAUGGAAGCAAACCAAAACCGGAUUGGGGCAGUGUAGAUGACAGGAAAAAAAUGCAAUGGAGUGAUGGAUUUUGCUCAUCUUGUGCCUGCUGAUUGCUGAAUGGCAUGGACAAAAGAAAUAUUUGCCUGUUGUUGUGAGUAUUCUGCUUGGGUUCAUGAAGACUGUGUUGCUUGCUUGUAGGGUACUGGAAGAUGAUUUCCAUGAUGACUAUUUCCUAUGUGGUUUUUAAUUCAAUUUAGCUAAUCCUGUAUUACUCUUACUUUUUGAUUGUGUUGUGGGCCCACUUGCUGUCUGGGCCCUACCAAUGCUGUUAAAUGGAGAAAAUACUAAACUCGGGCACUAGUCAGCAGCGGUGCUUCUUGCAUGCAUAUCAUGGAACUGAUUCAAAAUUCACCAGUCGACUAAUCUGUUCUCCAUGUUAAUAUCCUAUGAAUCUAACCACUUGAAGUGUGAAGCUCAUGCCCUCAAUGUGAAAGUUUCCACAUAAAUAGCUCGCUUAAAAAUCACAUAAGCACACUACUACCCCUUAUAUUUCUUUUUGUUACACUUCGAUAGCCAUAUGCUACAUAGUGAUAGUCAUACGAUAAACCAAAAAGAUCUUGCUACACGGGAAAAAAAUAUUCGAUGCUCCUGUCGUUUUCUGUCUGUUCUUUUUUUUUUCACACAAGCUGGAGCUUUGGCCAAACUGCAAUGGGCUGGGCUAGCUUACAAUGGCACCGGAUGAGCAAUAUGAAGCAUUUUUUUAUUGUUUUUGUGAUAAAAGUUUUAGUUUAUGAACUUCAUGUUAAAGUGCUGGACGAAAGUCAAUCCCAGAUUUGUGCUUAAUUAAUUUGGGUGUUGCAGUACACUCUCAAGAUAUCUAUAUAUAUACUGCAGUCAGUGCCAUAUAUAUUACCAUUGGAUUGGUUCCUUAUAGUAGCCCAAUCCAUGCCAAUGCCCUUGAAUUCACAUUUUAUUUUUAGAAGAGAUGCUCAUGUCAAUGCUGUGAUAUUUGUGCAUAUAAAUAUCUCACUCUGGGUAUGAAUGCCCAAAAAAUUUUCGGUGAUGAGAUCUUGGGGAGAAGCAAAUAUUGCUAUCUUAUUUACCAAUAUGUUUUGAAGACGUGAAACACCUCUCAAAUGAUGGAUGAAUGGUGUUGAUCUUCUAUUAAGUUAUACUGUUCGAACAUGAUCAUUAAUGUAGAUGGGUGAUUUUGGCUUGCAUUCCACAUUUCUAAUGAUAUUCUUAUUCUUAUUACUAUAGAUCAUAAUUUUGUGAGAAAAGUUAUUAUAUAUGAGAAUGAAAAAGUAGAGAGAAGGAAGAAGCUUGGCUUUAAUCAUACUGGUUGAAGCAUCUUACGAUUCAUACCUAAUAGAAAAAUUAUUUUGUAUAAGAAUGGAAGAGUUGAAGAGGAUAAUGGAUAUAUUCUCAUUCAUUCCAAAUAAAUAAAAUAAAAUAAUUUGUUUUA
This is a non-coding RNA of Oryza sativa Japonica Group (Japanese rice), 1949 nucleotides long. The record is from RefSeq and is a predicted model, not a curated record. NCBI's taxonomy places the organism in Eukaryota, Viridiplantae, Streptophyta, Magnoliopsida, Poales, Poaceae.